This 253-nucleotide ribosomal RNA is filed under the name uncultured bacterium. RNAcentral's name for it is "partial 16S ribosomal RNA". It matches the Rfam family "Bacterial small subunit ribosomal RNA", at positions 524 to 776 of the family's 1533-position model. The record is from RNAcentral.
UACGGAGGGGGCUAGCGUUGUUCGGAAUUACUGGGCGUAAAGGGCUCGUAGGCGGCCAACUAAGUCCGACGUGAAAUCCCCAGGCUCAACCUGGGAACUGCGUCGGAUACUGGAUGGCUUGAAUUCGGGAGAGGGAUGCAGAAUUCCAGGUGUAGCGGUGAAAUGCGUAGAUAUCUGGAGGAAUACCGGUGGCGAAGGCGGCAUCCUGGGCCUGAUCUGACACUGAGACACGAAAGCGUGGGGAUCAAACAGG